UCCGUAGGGUGCAAGCGUUACUCGGAAUUACUGGGCGUACAGCGUGCGCAGGCGGUGAUGUAAGUCAGGUGUGAAAUCCCCGGGCUUAACCUGGGAACUGCAUUUGUGACUGCAUCGCUGGAGUGCGGCAGAGGGGGAUGGAAUUCCGCGUGUAGCAGUGAAAUGCGUAGAUAUGCGGAGGAACACCGAUGGCGAAGGCAAUCCCCUGGACCUGUACUGACGCUCAUGCACGAAAGCGUGGGGAGCAAACAGG
Molecule: ribosomal RNA, 253 nt
Filed under: uncultured bacterium
Lineage: Bacteria
Description: partial 16S ribosomal RNA
Rfam family: Bacterial small subunit ribosomal RNA
Source: RNAcentral